GUGUAAACUAAAACAAAAAAGAAGAAUCAAAAUGUAAACAAUGUUUCUGAGGUAACGAAACAUUUUUUUCAUCAAUCGACAAUAAAAGGUAAUAUUCGGAAACCUGGAACAGAUUGCCUGGCCGUCCGUAAUACCAUUCACACAAUGUCCUGGAGUUCCAGAUUGAUAAGCUGGUACCGGAGGAUGGUUGUUUUCUCGAGCAACGGACGGAGAACCACCUGUACUACUUGUUGUGCUGCGUAGCUGUUGCGGAAUGUGUGCACCGGACGGGGGACGAACCGUCGUUUUGGCUCUUAGAGCUGCAAUGCUGUGGCUAUAAAAGUGUACCGAAGGAUGUUUUUUACUGAGCAACACACCCGGAGAUUGAUGGAGGUGCUGCUCAGCUGGAACCGGAAGAGCACCUACAUUCUACGGUUGAAUCCGGAUUAAAUGGUGUUCAAUUAGUGUCUUUAAAAAUGAAUAACAAUAAAACGUGAAUCAAA
This is a long non-coding RNA of Uranotaenia lowii, 482 nucleotides long. RefSeq lists it as uncharacterized. The transcript is spliced from 2 exons. NCBI's taxonomy places the organism in Eukaryota, Metazoa, Arthropoda, Insecta, Diptera, Culicidae. The record is from RefSeq and is a predicted model, not a curated record.